CUACGGGGCGCUGCAGUCAAGAAUCUUCCGCAAUGCACGAAAGUGUGACGGAGCAAUGCCGCGUGAUUGAUGAAGGCCUUCGGGUCGUAAAGAUCUUUUAUCAGGGACGAACAAAUGACGGUACCUGAUGAAUAAGAGGUUGCUAACUCUGUGCCAGCAGCAGCGGUAAUACAGAGACCUCAAGCGUUAUCCGGAUUUAUUGGGCGUAAAGGGUCCGUAGGUGGCUAUCUAAGUCAUUCGUUAAAUCUUCAGGCUCAACCUGGAGGCCGCGGGGGAUACUGGAUAGCUAGAGGGUGGGAGAGGCAGAUGGAAGUGCUGGUGUAGCGGUAAAAUGCGUUAAUAUCAGCAAGAACACCAAAGGCGAAAGCAAUCUGCUGGAACACUCCUGACACUGAGGGACGAAAGCGUGGGUAGCGAAUCGGAUUAGAUACCCCGGUAGUC
This 441-nucleotide ribosomal RNA is filed under the name uncultured bacterium. Its description in RNAcentral is "partial 16S ribosomal RNA". It matches the Rfam family "Bacterial small subunit ribosomal RNA", at positions 339 to 795 of the family's 1533-position model. The record is from RNAcentral.